GCGCCCAUAGCUCAGCUGGAUAGAGCGUACCCCUCCGGAGGGUAAGGCCGAAGGUUCGAAUCCUUCUGGGCGCACCA
RNAcentral lists this transfer RNA (77 nucleotides) under Shewanella sp. RNAcentral describes it as "tRNA-Arg". It matches the Rfam family "tRNA". Rfam says of the family: Transfer RNA (tRNA) molecules are approximately 80 nucleotides in length. Their secondary structure includes four short double-helical elements and three loops (D, anti-codon, and T loops). Further hydrogen bonds mediate the characteristic L-shaped molecular structure. tRNAs have two regions of fundamental functional importance: the anti-codon, which is responsible for specific mRNA codon recognition, and the 3' end, to which the tRNAs corresponding amino acid is attached (by aminoacyl-tRNA synthetases). tRNAs cope with the degeneracy of the genetic code in two manners: having more than one tRNA (with a specific anti-codon) for a particular amino acid; and 'wobble' base-pairing, i.e. permitting non-standard base-pairing at the 3rd anti-codon position. The record is from RNAcentral. RNAcentral also lists the same sequence under 79 other names. Lineage: Bacteria; Pseudomonadati; Pseudomonadota; Gammaproteobacteria; Alteromonadales; Shewanellaceae.